CUGUCUUUUCGAGGUAGGAGUCGACUCCUGUGAGGUAUGGUGCUGGGUGCAGAUGCAGUGUGGCUCUGGAUAGCACCUUAUGGACAGUUGUGUCCCCAAGGAAGGAUGAGAAUAGCUACUGAAGUCCUAAAGAGCAAGCCUAACUCAAGCCAUUGGCACACAGGCAUUAGACAGAAAGCUGGAAGUUGAAAUGGUGGAGUCCAACUUGCCUGGACCAGCUUAAUGGUUCUGCUCCUGGUAACGUUUUUAUCCAUGGAUGACUUGCUUGGGUAUGGAGAGUCGGCUUGACUACACUGUGUGGAGCAAGUUUUAAAGAAGCAAAGGACUCAGAAUUCAUGAUUGAAGAAAUGCAGGCAGACCUGUUAUCCUAAACUAGGGUUUUUAAUGACCACAACAAGCAAGCAUGCAGCUUACUGCUUGAAAGGGUCUUGCCUCACCCAAGCUAGAGUGCAGUGGCCUUUGAAGCUUACUACAGCCUCAAACUUCUGGGCUCAAGUGAUCCUCAGCCUCCCAGUGGUCUUUGUAGACUGCCUGAUGGAGUCUCAUGGCACAAGAAGAUUAAAACAGUGUCUCCAAUUUUAAUAAAUUUUUGCAAUCCA
Molecule: long non-coding RNA, 599 nt
Filed under: Homo sapiens (human)
Lineage: Eukaryota; Metazoa; Chordata; Mammalia; Primates; Hominidae
Description: LHRI_LNC1043.2
Source: RNAcentral